Molecule: long non-coding RNA, 1573 nt
Organism: Numida meleagris (helmeted guineafowl)
Lineage: Eukaryota; Metazoa; Chordata; Aves; Galliformes; Numididae
Exons: 3
Source: RefSeq, a predicted model, not a curated record
GCCGCUCUCCUCCCUCCUGAUUCACACGCAGCAGAUGAUGUGCCAUGGAAAUCCAAGGGUCCGUCCUCACAGAAGUCACGGCAUGCCAUAACUAUUUGUUCCUCCUUUCCCAGCAGAUCAUCACCCCACAGGAUCCUGCCUCCCAGCUCCCCGUGCCUGCUGAAAAGGAUUCCAGCGUCCUGCGAUGAAACUCUCUGGGCACGGAAGCUUUGUAUCUUUUAGAAUCAAUCCAAUGAGUGUGGAAAGAGGAUAACAUGAAGGGAAAUUCUGAAUGUCCCAAAGAGCGCCAAAGUAUCUAUUUCUCAUUAAAAGUCAAUGACAGUUUGGUACUUAAAUGCCCUUUGUAUCUUGGAGAAUCUCCUUUGUAAAUACUUCUCCCUGUGCUGGUACACUGAGAACUACUAAAAUCAAUAAAUAUAACUUGAAGCUUUCAGGUACUGAACAGGAAGAAACCAGUUCCUUCUCCAACUCCUACCACUCCUCUACAAGAGAAAGUUCACCUCCCAGUCUUGGGACUCUCAGUGCUUUGCUGCUCUCACCCUUUUGCACUGUAUGAUUGCCUCCCUUCCCUGGAUGGGCUGUCAAAGCCAGAAGUGCUUCUUUUUCUGAGAUAAAGAACAAUAUACUUGGGAGUGAUGAAGGAGGAAAAGAAGAAAAAGCACCUUGCAAUUAAAUAUUUUAAUAGACAUUUUGAAGAUGUUUUUGAAAAGAUUUAAAAUUAAUGUUAACAAUAGCAUGCAUCAGAGGGCUUAGGCUGAACAAUACCUAUCACUUUUUCUGCUUAAGAAUCUUAAAAAUAAUACCCUAUAAUAUUUUGCACCAGCAUUUUUUUUUUAAACUCUUCUAGACUAGGCAGACAUUUCUGACUAGCUGUGCACAGAAGCUUAAAUCCUCCCUCUCCAUAUUCAUACCAAGCAAUCAGUUUAUGACAGCUUUGGUGAACCUUUUAGAUGAUGUGCACUGCAGUAACUUUACUCUUGGGAGCAUACUAUGUACUACCAGCCUUCAGAUAAGGGACACUGGUCUUUUGCUUCCUCCCAGUGUGGCACUCCCAGAUAAUUACUGAUUUAAUGAGGUAGAAAUUCAGACAGGGAACCAAAUACUGCAAAAGGAUCGGAGGCAAUCCUGCACUAUAUGUCAUUCUCAGCACUAUACAUGCUGCUUCUGGCAUGUGACCAGUGGAAAUCUGGGAUUUAUGUCGUUGAUUUUCACUGGUUUCCAGAGAAAAAGUUUCACCAAGGAGCCUGAGGCCCUACUUUAUAACUGCAAACCCAAUGUUCUGAUUCACAGAAUCACCAAGGUUGGAAAAGACCUCCCAAGAUCAUCCAGUCCAACCGUCCACCUAUCACCAAUAUCUCCCACUAAACCAUGUCCCUCAGUACAACAUCUAAAUGUUUCUUGAACUCCUCCAGGGAUGGUGACUCCAUUACCUCCCUGGGCUGCCCAUUCCACCACCUGACCACUGUCUUGGAGAAGCAUUUCUUGAUGUCCUACCUGAAUCUCCCCUGGCACAACUUGAGGCCAUUCCCUCUCAUCCUAUCACUAGUUACAUGGGAGAAGAGGCCGACCCCCA